Non-coding RNA from Pelobates cultripes (western spadefoot toad), 231 nucleotides. NCBI's taxonomy places the organism in Eukaryota, Metazoa, Chordata, Amphibia, Anura, Pelobatidae. The record is from the annotation of a GenBank genome assembly.
AUAAUACAGAGGUUCCCUCCCCUACUUUCCCUCCCCUCAGAGUGACACUUAAUCCACUUAAUGCUGGUACCUUUUUCCCUGUUUCUUGGAUGUACCCCAAAACUGUGGGUUAAAUGGACUUAAGUGGCAUCCCCUGGUAGCUCUGAUCUGGGUGACCAACAUACUCAAAAUUCACCCAGAUCAGACCAGGGGUUCAGGAGUUAUGGGAAUAAACGAUUUGACCGACCGCAC